UAAAAAAUUUCUGAAUCCGUAAGGGAUAGUCAAAAUCUGAAGUGAGCCAGAUACAUAAGUAUCCCAACCUUAAUUCACAAUUCCCCUUCCUUUUUUUGCUCCUUUAAUCUCUCCCUAAUUUCACUCCACAAUUUAUUAGUUACAAUUUUAAUAGAAAUUUGAUUUUCAAAAGAAUUUUCUCUCCGAUAAAUUCAAUUCAAACAACUCUGAAAAUUCUCUCUCCGGUAAAUUCAAUUCAAACAACUCAAUAGUUCCUCCAUGGUCGUCUUCAUAUGGAUAUGGAUUGUUCUUUCAACUAAACACUUUAAUACAAGAUGAAUAUAUGAUUAUGAUGAUGAUAAACUAAAAACAAAAUCAUUAAUGAUUCACAGUCAAAUAUAUGAUUAUAGUCUUCUUCUAUUGAAAAGUUGCUUCUGUAAUUUUCAGAUUUACAUUAUCCAGGAUGUUUAUAGUGAAUGUUGAAUAUUUGUAGUUGCCUUUGCUGAAUUCUUUAGCAAUGAAGUCAACAUCCAUGAGCUGACUACCUCGCACAAGAUUUGCAACACUAUUAUGGAAGUACGUUCUUGACAAGGUCAAAGUGGAAUAUGUUAGCGAUAUCGAUGAUCUACUAAAAGUGAAGAGUUAUUUCACUCUAUAACAACAAGAUGACUUGGUUCAUAUAGAUUAGUGAUUAUGUAUUGAUUCACAUACAACUUUUGAUGUUUUUAUUGUUUUUAAGAUACAUUAACUAAUAUUUUGGAGGGUUUGUUACUUUUCAAGAUACAUUUUCUCAAGUUUUAUAGUUUAUUGUAACAAAGUUAUUUAUUUUGAAUAUUAUUUUUUUA
Long non-coding RNA from Solanum lycopersicum (tomato), 824 nucleotides. RefSeq lists it as uncharacterized. NCBI's taxonomy places the organism in Eukaryota, Viridiplantae, Streptophyta, Magnoliopsida, Solanales, Solanaceae. The record is from RefSeq and is a predicted model, not a curated record.